GUGGGGUAUAUUGGACAAUGGGGGGAACCCUGAUCCAGCCAUGCCGCGUGUGUGAAGAAGGCCUUUUGGUUGUAAAGCACUUUAAGCGAGGAGGAGGCUACCGAGAUUAAUACUCUUGGAUAGUGGACGUUACUCGCAGAAUAAGCACCGGCUAACUCUGUGCCAGCAGCCGCGGUAAUACAGAGGGUGCAAGCGUUAAUCGGAUUUACUGGGCGUAAAGCGCGCGUAGGUGGCCAAUUAAGUCAAAUGUGAAAUCCCCGAGCUUAACUUGGGAAUUGCAUUCGAUACUGGUUGGCUAGAGUAUGGGAGAGGAUGGUAGAAUUCCAGGUGUAGCGGUGAAAUGCGUAGAGAUCUGGAGGAAUACCGAUGGCGAAGGCAGCCAUCUGGCCUAAUACUGACACUGAGGUGCGAAAGCAUGGGGAGCAAACAGGAUUAGAUACCCCUGUAGUCC
This 451-nucleotide ribosomal RNA is filed under the name uncultured bacterium. Its description in RNAcentral is "partial 16S ribosomal RNA". It matches the Rfam family "Bacterial small subunit ribosomal RNA", at positions 354 to 796 of the family's 1533-position model. The record is from RNAcentral.